RNAcentral lists this small RNA (817 nucleotides) under Arabidopsis thaliana (thale cress). RNAcentral's name for it is "ATSL128610". The record is from RNAcentral. Lineage: Eukaryota; Viridiplantae; Streptophyta; Magnoliopsida; Brassicales; Brassicaceae.
UUACUUAAAUAUUUUUACUUUAUUUGAUGAUAUUUCUUCAUAAAAUUUUACCACAUAAUCAUAUUAGUUUUUAAAAUUUUUAUGUGAAUUUAAAAAGUCUAAUUUUGCUAUUUCAAAAAUAUGUAGCAAUUUUUAUUUAAACUCAGCCGACGGUGUACGUGAUAUUGUUAAAAUUGGUGUACUAAUAGUAAUAUACAACAAUAACGUAAAAAUUAAUAUAAUUACUGAUGUAGAAAAUGAUACACUGAGUAUAACAGUGUACAAAAUGAUGUACAUAGAUGAUGAAAAAUAUGGUGUACAUAAUCGUACACCUUUAAAAAUCUAUGAGACAAUGUACUAACAUUGGUGUACGAGAUGAUGUACACCACUAAUUAAAAUAAUGAUUUAUACAUUCUCUAUAAGUGUACACCAAGUUUUGUACACUUUGUCUACCAAUCUUGUAUGUUAUCAUUUAAAAGUUGUAUAUAUCAUUCUAUCCACCAAUCGUCAUAAUAGUUUCAAUCAUUUUGUACAUUAUUAAGAGUAACUUAAUUAUAUACACCAUCAUGUACACCAUUAUAUUGAAUAAUAAUAUUUGGUUUAUACAAUCAUUAUGUUUGUAAAAUAUUAAAACAAUAUUACUUAUAUUAAUAAGUAUAAGAGAAGUCGGUGAUGAUUUAUGAAAUAUCGGUGUACACACUUGUACACCAACGAAUAAUGGUUAGUGUACAAAACGAUGUUUUAAAUGUUUGUGCAUUAUAAUGAUGACAGAUAAAUAGUCUAAAAGUUAAUGUAAUUUUUUUAAAAAAAUAAUAUUUAAUUUUUUUAAGUAUUUAAG